This 305-nucleotide ribosomal RNA is filed under the name uncultured Megamonas sp. Its description in RNAcentral is "bacterial SSU rRNA". It matches the Rfam family "Bacterial small subunit ribosomal RNA", at positions 1078 to 1382 of the family's 1533-position model. Lineage: Bacteria; Bacillati; Bacillota; Negativicutes; Selenomonadales; Selenomonadaceae. The record is from RNAcentral.
GGUUAAGUCCCGUAACGAGCGCAACCCUUGUCCUUAGUUACCAGCACGUUAUGGUGGGCACUCUAAGGAGACUGCCGGUGACAAACCGGAGGAAGGUGGGGAUGACGUCAAGUCAUCAUGGCCCUUACGGCCUGGGCUACACACGUGCUACAAUGGUCGGUACAACGAGUUGCGAGUCGGUGACGGCGAGCUAAUCUCUUAAAGCCAAUCUCAGUUCGGAUUGUAGGCUGCAACUCGCCUACAUGAAGUCGGAAUCGCUAGUAAUCGCGGAUCAGCACGCCGCGGUGAAUACGUUCCCGGGCCUU